RNAcentral lists this ribosomal RNA (364 nucleotides) under uncultured Helicobacter sp. RNAcentral's name for it is "bacterial SSU rRNA". It matches the Rfam family "Bacterial small subunit ribosomal RNA", at positions 289 to 670 of the family's 1533-position model. Lineage: Bacteria; Pseudomonadati; Campylobacterota; Epsilonproteobacteria; Campylobacterales; Helicobacteraceae. The record is from RNAcentral.
GGCCUGAGAGGGUGAUCGGACACACUGGAACUGAGACACGGUCCAGACUCCUACGGGAGGCAGCAGUAGGGAAUAUUGCUCAAUGGGGGAAACCCUGAAGCAGCAACGCCGCGUGGAGGAUGAAGGUUUUAGGAUUGUAAACUCCUUUUGUGAGAGAAGAUUAUGACGGUAUCUCACGAAUAAGCACCGGCUAACUCCGUGCCAGCAGCCGCGGUAAUACGGAGGGUGCAAGCGUUACUCGGAAUCACUGGGCGUAAAGAGUGCGCAGGCGGGGUGGUAAGUCAGAUGUGAAAUCCUGUAGCUUAACUACAGAACUGCAUUUGAAACUAUCACUCUAGAGUAUGGGAGAGGUAGGUGGAAUUCU